RNAcentral lists this transfer RNA (90 nucleotides) under Pseudobdellovibrionaceae bacterium. RNAcentral's name for it is "Bdellovibrionaceae bacterium tRNA-Ser". It matches the Rfam family "tRNA". From Rfam's summary of the family: Transfer RNA (tRNA) molecules are approximately 80 nucleotides in length. Their secondary structure includes four short double-helical elements and three loops (D, anti-codon, and T loops). Further hydrogen bonds mediate the characteristic L-shaped molecular structure. tRNAs have two regions of fundamental functional importance: the anti-codon, which is responsible for specific mRNA codon recognition, and the 3' end, to which the tRNAs corresponding amino acid is attached (by aminoacyl-tRNA synthetases). tRNAs cope with the degeneracy of the genetic code in two manners: having more than one tRNA (with a specific anti-codon) for a particular amino acid; and 'wobble' base-pairing, i.e. permitting non-standard base-pairing at the 3rd anti-codon position. Lineage: Bacteria; Pseudomonadati; Bdellovibrionota; Bdellovibrionia; Bdellovibrionales; Pseudobdellovibrionaceae. The record is from RNAcentral.
GGAGAGGUGGGUGAGUGGCUGAAACCAACGGUUUGCUAAAUCGUCGAAGAAGCAAUUCUUCCGCGGGUUCGAAUCCCGCCCUCUCCGCCA